GGUCCAUUGGUCUAGUGGUAUGAUUCUCGCUUAGGGUGCGAGAGGUCCCGCGUUCGAGUCGCGGAUGGGCCC
Molecule: transfer RNA, 72 nt
Filed under: Verruconis gallopava
Lineage: Eukaryota; Fungi; Ascomycota; Dothideomycetes; Venturiales; Sympoventuriaceae
Description: tRNA-Pro (AGG) (tRNA-Pro-AGG-1-1)
Rfam family: tRNA
About the family: Transfer RNA (tRNA) molecules are approximately 80 nucleotides in length.
Source: RNAcentral